GGGUCUGUAGCUCAGAUGGUUUAGAGCGUUCGACUGAUAAUCGAAAGGUCGGUGGUUCAAUUCCUCCCAGACCCA
Non-coding RNA from Brachyspira sp. CAG:700, 75 nucleotides. NCBI's taxonomy places the organism in Bacteria, Pseudomonadati, Spirochaetota, Spirochaetia, Brachyspirales, Brachyspiraceae. The record is from Rfam.